RNAcentral lists this long non-coding RNA (965 nucleotides) under Equus asinus (donkey). RNAcentral describes it as "lncRNA (ENSEASG00005030918.1)". Lineage: Eukaryota; Metazoa; Chordata; Mammalia; Perissodactyla; Equidae. The record is from RNAcentral.
AAGGUGGGCGGGGCGACGCUCCACAAUCACGUCUGACUUCCUGUCCCUCUACAAUUCUUUGUGUCAGGGGUCACCAGACUUUAAAGGCGUCGCGUGGCUCUGCUGCCGACUCUGUAGCGCCGUGACCUGUACCGAGUAGUAGGGAGGACGCCGGGGGACCCAGGAGCCUCAGCAAUGAGACAGUGGUUUACCCUGUGACGUCACUUCUCUGACGGAAGAGUUGUUGAUUACAAGUUUCUUGGCUUUUUUAUUCUGAGGACUCAAAUCUGGCUUCGGAGCUCCGUGUAUUACAGACCAGAGACCAUGAUUCUCUGACUCCUUUUUUUCCAGUUUCAUUGAGAAAAAAUUGAUACACAUGACUUUAUAAAUUUAAGGUAGAGGCCUCAGUGAGUGAGGAUGCCCUCAUCGAUCAUUGUCUUCCCACCAUCUACUACAUCUUAAACACUGUUGGAGGAACUGCUUGGGUGUGGAUGUAAACAAUGGACAGCAAUACUGAAAGUCUUGCUUUCUUGGAAUUAACAGCAAUGCUUCCCCAUAGAGAUAAAGGUGUAUUGACAUCUUGGGGGGCACCUCAUUCCACGUUGGCGGUGGACAGCUUGUCUGGAGCAGGCCUCUCAUGUGCAUCCCGCCUGAUCCAGUGCCCUGUCCCUACAGACCUCCUUAUCUGCCUCUCACACGCCAGACAGUAUCCCCUGCCCUAAACCCACCCAGGGCCAGGAACCAGAUGACUGAGGACCAUCCCCAGGCCCCAGAGGCUGCUGGGAUUGUUCAAAGCAGCCAGUCCUGAGCUGCUCACUCUGCCCUGACUCACAUUUCCUGUGGGACCCAAAUGAAGGCCGUGGCCUGGGUUUGUGUCCCAUUCCUGAUUCUCCCUCCUGAGCAACCCUGAUGCAGCCCCUAUGACCCUGUCUGGCAUGGUGUGCCCCCUUGUCUUGGGAAAUGUAAGUAAAAAACUUCUUUCAGUG